GGUCGGAUAAGGCGCAAGCGCCGCAUCCGACAAGCGAUGCCUGAUGUGACGUUUAACGUGUCUUAUCAGGCC
Non-coding RNA from Escherichia coli str. K-12 substr. MG1655, 72 nucleotides. Lineage: Bacteria; Pseudomonadati; Pseudomonadota; Gammaproteobacteria; Enterobacterales; Enterobacteriaceae. The record is from Rfam.